Molecule: non-coding RNA, 3881 nt
Organism: Macaca mulatta (Rhesus monkey)
Lineage: Eukaryota; Metazoa; Chordata; Mammalia; Primates; Cercopithecidae
Source: RefSeq, a predicted model, not a curated record
CAUAGCGAGAUCCUCUCUCUACUUUUUGUAAAAAAUGUGGAAAAAAAGAAAAAGCAAUUGGAAUCAGGGCUUACAAAAUGAGAACAGGAAAAAUAACAAAGUGAGGUGUGAAGGUAGCAUGCAAAAUGCAAAUAUCACUCUUAGUUCACCCCUAUGUAAGCAAAAGAGACUUAAUGAUUAAUUGCCAUUUUCUUUGUGAGACUCAAACCCCAUUUAUACUGCUUAUGAAUAAACUUCAUAUUGUAAACAUACCUUGAUUAAAAAUUAAGUGAUGAUUUAGAACAUCACAUAAACUUUCUAAUUUCCACCAUGAUAGAGAGAAAGAUGGGACACCCUUUUGUGAUUAUUCAAAAUAUUGGCCAAUUCUCUGGCAUUGCUGAAGAUACAUGGGUAAUAGCAGCACUUCAUUAGUAGGUAGAAAAAUGGAUGCGGUGCCUCUAAUUCUGUGCAACUAUCUUCAACUAUUUUUCCAACUCUUUCUGUGACCAAAUUCUCUGUCUCUCUCCCUCUCUCCCCACUCUGUCUCUCCCUUCAUCCUUACUUGUUUUUGUUGGGUAAUUUUUGAAGUUAAAACAUGCAGGUCCAUUGAGAUUUUCCUAGUAGAACAAAACAGCUAGAGCUUUGCUUAAUCCUGAGGCGUUUUACUUCUCUCUUAGUAAUCUUAGUCCCCUCUGGCAUAAUAUGGGCUUACUGCUGUGACUCUGUUAGCUGAACCAUCUGGAUUGUUGUUUUUUUUAAAUUUAAUACUGCACCUAUCAUCACCCAAAUAUGAAAGUUCUGCUUUCUCCAGGCACCUCCAUAUCCAUAUAAGGUAUUUUAUGUAGCUGUGCCAGGGGGAUCCAAGGAAAAAGAUAUUAAACUUGAUUUUGAAGCUAUUUCUGAAUGUUGCUUGGUCUAAUGACUGCCCCGCUCCGGUCUUUCGGAAUAGAAAAUGUGAGUAUGAGUGCGAGUGAGAGUGUAGUGGGUGGAACUGGGGCAGCUGUGAAGUGGAGGGUAGUCAUAAUCACUUGCGAUGGGAGAGAGGGCCUGAGCAAGCACUGUGGAGUUGUUUCUACUGCUGGGAUAUAUAUUGCAUUCUUUUAUUCAGAGCCAGAGGCAGGUACCUGACUAGGAUAUUUGUUCAGCUCUCUUGUAAUGGUGACUUUAUUUUUAUCUCUCUUUUUUAUCUUUUUGGAGAUAUUCUUUUCUGCAUCUCAGACACCAGCCAGAAGGUAUUGGUGAUACCAUUACAGAAGAGGAAACAGAGACUUAAAAAGAUGAAAUGACUUACUUGGGAUUACACAGCUGGUACAAGUAAGCUUUGAAUCCAGCUGUGAGCCAGUUGUAAAUAGGCUGAGAGCACGGAGAAUCUGCAAGAAGAGAAAAGGAACAGCUCAUGUGAGCCUGUGGCUGUGCAUUUUCCAGAGGAGGAGGACUGGAUGUCCAUCCCACACACAGAAUGACAAACGGAGCACAGGAUGCAGGGUCUGAGAUGCUUUCUACGUCCUGUUGGCUCUCACAGGCUUGCUCUCUUGGUUUGUUUUUAUUGGUUGGCACUGCCAGGGUGUCUAAUAUAUUCACCAAAAAUAGAUUGAAAUAACAGCACGCUGUAAAGGCUUUCUUGAUUUUCUGUGCCACUGAUCCCCAGGUAUCUUCUAUGUGUUACGCGGUAUAUCCUUAAUAAUGUUUUAGUUUCUGGAAUAAAUCAUCUUCUAAUUAAAUGUGUGAUUGAUAUUAAAAUAAGUGGGGUGGCAAAUGUCUUGGAAGGUGGAAUAAAAUGCAGAAUGUACUAGGCAAGUUGGAAAAGUGAAUGCAUCUAAACAGAAAAUUCAAAUGGGAUUAAAUAUAGAGAAACUCACUUAGGGAGGAAAAAUCUCUCUAAAUCUGCAAAGGCAAAAUGAAGGAGGGCUGGCCUUCUACAAAGAUGUCAGAAAGCCAUAGUGAACCCCAGGCUGAACCCUCCCUGUGCUGCAAUGGAGGCAGUGAAUACAACCCAGAGGGGCCUCACAGAAGCCAGAGUAUGUGGGAAGGGCAUCACUACUUGUCCUCCCUGCCUGCCCUAGUUGGCAUUUUUUUGAGUAAUGUGUACCUUGGAAUAGCUUGAAGAGAAAUUAAAUCAGUGCUUCUCAAGAUUUAGUUGCAUCAGAAUCACCUGGAGGGCUGUUAGAGCACAAAUCCCUGGGCUCCACCCUGACUUUCUGAUUUAGUAAGCCUGGGUUGGGGCUCAAGAAUUUGCAUAUCUAACAAGUUUUCAGGUGAUGCUGCUACUGUGGGUUGGAGGACCACACAGAUUUUGGAAGGAGCUUCUCUUGGAAAAAGAGUCAAAGCACAUGGAUCUGCUAUGUCUAGACAAAAGAAGCCAGAGCCCAGACAUAAUAAGAAUUUUGAUUAAGUAGGAGGGUAUAAUGAAUGCCUGAGCCUUACUGAGGAGUUCAUUCUACUGUGGACAAGAGCACAAAUUCAAUUUGCUGAGAAAUUUAGGGUUGACAUCAGGAUGAUCUACCUUAAAACAUUUGGAGGACCUGAAAUAUGAUACAAAGGAGAUUUUAGCUAUCUUUGUGGGAAAUUUGAAAAGAGGAGGAAGUUAUCCUUUUGGCAGGGCUUAGGAGACUUACUGGGUUUUGCUUCCUGCUUUAUUCUAUGACAGUGAAACAUCUCUUCAAUGCAAGUAGGAAGAAGAGCCCCACAUGUGAGGGUCCAGUACAUGUGCCGCCUAUCAGCAGGGGAGUAAGUAUGGCAGAAACACCAAUGGCCUCAAGAUAGAGAAGGACAGCAGCAUAUCCUGUACCAGGCACUAUGAAGACAUGAGGAAGUGGGGAGUGUUAGAACGAGAGAAGGAUUUAGUGGAGAUACCUCAACAUAGGCAGAGAAGGCCAAAGCAGUCACAAAACAAGCUUGGAACGUGCAAUGAAAGCUCAGCAGGUACAAAUGAUGGAAUGGAAGUUAGAGUUCAGUGCAGAGCUGCAAAUGAGGGAUUAUAUACAAUUGAGAUAAUGAGGUGGGAGAGCAUGGAGAGAGGAAGGGGUUGACAUUCAGAAAAGAAAUAAACAGAGAAGACAGUGCUGCAUGGAAGGACUUCCCAAGCCUCUGGCAGGCACAAAUUUGGAACAUACUGGGAAGUGACAGAAGUCACAGAAUUGGAAAGACACAGAAGGGCCGGAGCUGGGCUUCUCUGGAAGCAUGGCUAGGAUGCUGGUGUCCUAGACAGUGAAAUACGAUAAUUUGGCAGCAAUUAAGCAAAACACAAGUGACUGAGCACCCACCAUGGGCUGGGUCAUGAACUGUGUGGAUGAGGCUGAAUCAGUUUGGUGGCUACUUUCAAAUGUAAACUCCUAAUGAUGAUAGAGUUUGACAAAAAUGAAUGGAGUGGGUGAAGGUGGGACAAGGAGCAGAGAUGAAGGAGAAAUGCUUCACGGAGAGCAUUCCGAAAGGCUUUACCGAGGAGGGAGGGAUUCAGGGCAGAGGAGGGAGAGUGGAUCCAGAUCCCAGAGGAUGCAUAAGCAGGAGCUUGUCAGACAGGGAAGGUGGGAAGAGGUUCCAGGCCAGGGGCACAGAAUGCACAGAAAGUACGAAUGAACUGUGUCAGCCGAACUUGGCAGGGAGUGAGACCGGAGAAGUGAGCUAUCCAGAUACAUGGCUGGAAGGUCAAAGGGCUGCUCUGCGUUGGGACCACCCAUAUACAUUUCACCCACCUAGGCAAACCCUUAGUCUAUUUUAGAUACCUGGUGGGUGGGAAUGCCUCAUUUCUAUCUCAUUCUGGGUGGCUUGAGAAAAAACUGAGAAUCAGUGAUUCAGGCCAGGGCUAGGAAGGAACACUGAUUUUUUUGAAAAUUAGUAAGUGAACACAUUUUUGUAUUUACUUGAAAAAUAAUGGAUGGAUUUUGAUAAUUGCAUGGCAUUUU